This 303-nucleotide ribosomal RNA is filed under the name uncultured bacterium. RNAcentral's name for it is "partial 16S ribosomal RNA". It matches the Rfam family "Bacterial small subunit ribosomal RNA", at positions 507 to 807 of the family's 1533-position model. The record is from RNAcentral.
AGCAGCAGCCACGGUAAUACGAAGGGGGCUAGCGUUGCUCGGAAUCACUGGGCGUAAAGGGUGCGUAGGCGGGUUUCUAAGUCAGGGGUGAAAUCCUGGAGCUCAACUCCAGAACUGCCCUUGAUACUGGAAGUCUUGAGUAUGGGAGAGGUGAGUGGAACUGCGAGUGUAGAGGUGAAAUUCGUAGAUAUUCGCAAGAACACCAGUGGCGAAGGCGGCUCACUGGCCCAUAACUGACGCUGAGGCACGAAAGCGUGGGGAGCAAACAGGAUUAGAUACCCCCGUAGUCCCUGUCUCUUAUAC